Molecule: long non-coding RNA, 1270 nt
Filed under: Homo sapiens (human)
Lineage: Eukaryota; Metazoa; Chordata; Mammalia; Primates; Hominidae
Description: HSALNT0119054
Source: RNAcentral
CCCACCCAAAUUUCAUGUUGAAUUGUAAUUCCCAUGUAUUGAGGGAGGGACCUGGUGGAAGGUGAUUGGAUCACGGGGAGGAUUUCCCCCAUGCUUUCUCAUGAUAGUGAGUUUUCAUAAGAUCUGACGGUUUAAUAGUGCUUGGCAGUUUCCCCCUUCAUUCUCUCUCUUUCUUGCUCUGACAUGUGAAGACUGUGCCUUGCUUCUUCUUCUGCCCUAACUAUAAGUUUCCUGAGGCCUCCCCAGCCAUGUGGAAUGGUCAAAAAAGGAUAGAAACAUCUAAAACAAUGAUUAUGUUACAGUGAAGAAGGACUUUGUUUUGUCAGCAAUGGAGCAUUUUCCAAGGGAGAUAGAUGAAUGCCCACUCCCACUGCCUAACUUUGUAACUGCUUUUGCUGUUUGUUUCCUCUCAUUCAUUUUGCAUUCGUGUUAGGCUUGCAUCUGUUUAUGUUACUUGUCUAUUAUUCAUCUACAGGAUAACUGCUCAGCAGUCGUUACUUCCUUUCAUAUCUUUUCUGCAUCUUUUGUUUCCAUGGGUUGUUUUGGCAAUAAAACCAAGAAAAGGGUACAAAGCUUAUAAAAAAGUGCAGUUGGAACAUCAUGUUUUUACAGCUCUAAGAACAUUAUUGCUGAUUUCAAAAAGUUUUUUUAAAUGUUAAAAUGUAUUCAGCAAAGUUUAAAGCUCAUAGGUAUGAUAAAUUUGAAAAUUUGAGAAAAUGAAAUUUAAAAAGUGUUUCCAAAACAGCUCGCUACUGUUUGAUCUUCACAUGGCAGUCUGCCUUGUGCAAUUCUCUGUUUACUGUACAUUUUAAUACCUAAGUUUCAAGCAAUGAAGUCAUAGUAAUUCCUUACAUUUGUAUAGCACUUCAUAAUUUUAUUGUGUGAUUACUCAUUCAUUAUGUCCUCUAAUCUUUCUAGGUAGAUAAUUAGCAUCUUCAUUUUAGGAUAGGAAAAAAGAGAGUAAUAACUUUGUUAAAUGACAUGCUAAGAUCAAAAGAUCAAUGGAUCUCUGAGCCUGGAAUCUACACUAACUUGAUACCUGGUGUGGGUCAGGAGAAUCCUCACAAUAUAAAGUUGCUCCAGACUUCCUGCAAGCCUAAGUGGUAAAAUAAGGUUUGGGGAUUUUAGAUUAUGUUAGCAUAGUUUUAUGUGUGAUUUUAAAUCAUUAUUGUGUCUCCAAACUUAUUAAGACUCUAUCUAUCUAUUAUCAAGGGAUUGAAGUUUAGCUGGGAAAGGGGACUAAUACGUAUCUAUUUUACCAUAUUACCUU